Molecule: long non-coding RNA, 2081 nt
Organism: Triticum aestivum (bread wheat)
Lineage: Eukaryota; Viridiplantae; Streptophyta; Magnoliopsida; Poales; Poaceae
Exons: 3
Source: RefSeq, a predicted model, not a curated record
UUGAAAAACAUAGCAGAUUCCAGCAAGGGCACGAUCCACUCUAAAAAGCCAAUAUACGAGCCUAAUCAACCGUCCUACCUACCCAUAUCUCCUAUCCCACCCUGCAUUACGUUGCCAUAAUCCCUCUCCACGUACAACUUCUGUCAAUCUUCCUGUCCUGCUUGCCGCCGUCACAACAGCCAUGAAUCGGUGGGGAAACAAUCUUUGGGCUUCUCGCUGCCUUGGCCCGUGGUUGCCUCCUCGCUCUUCUCCCGGCCACCAUUGUUGGUACAGAUCACAUGUCCAGCACUAUAUCACCUCCUGCCUCCAUUGCCUAUAUUCUUAGAACCUUCUCGCUAUUUCAUUCACGCAAACAAGGUUUGUACGUGCUUGGUGACGUACCUGAUGCUUUUAGGAGAGCAAACCUGCUAAUUUGGCUUUGUUGAAUCUCUUUAUUGAAUUUUCUUUCGUUAUUCAUCCUUGGUCGCGUACACACGAUAAUUAGUUCUCUCACAGGCAAGCAUAAAGGAGAAUACGAGUUGUGCAACCAUACUUGCAGAGUUGUUCAUGCAGUUUUGAGGUUUGAGCCGCUCCUGGCAGGUACUAUCUGAGAUUUGCUUCUGUUCCCCUUUAAUUGUAACUUCAACUUUGGGACUUUGUUUAUUAUAUAAUAGACCUAAUAAAGAUCAGAUGGGCGAUUAAUUAGUCCUUUGUAUAUAUCUCAUUGGAUCGUCCAACUUUCAAAUCAAUUCACAGAUUAUCUUAUAUUCUAAGAGAAAAUAAUGAGAACUCGGGAGGCGAAGAUCAAAGCAAAAUAAGUGUUGUCAGAUUCUCCUAAUCAAAACUCGCGAGGCGAAGAUCAUAUAACAUGGACACAUAUCCCUGUGAAUGUGCCUCCACUUUGAUGCCAUCACACCUCGAGGAGUCCACUAACCCAUGCUUUUCCAUGUCGAUGGGUUCCUUCGUGCUUGAGCAUCAACUCCAAUCAACAAGCCGUUGUGCCCAGUGGCGAAGCCACGUUGAGAGGAGUAUGGUCAGUUGACCACACAGGUUUUUGGCAAAUCCUUUAUACACAAGUAGAAAUCAUGUAUUUUUUUUAUAAAAUUGAUGAAAACACAUGUAUUUGACAUCACAGAUUUAAAAUGACAUCACAGACUUCAGAUCCUGGCACCGCCACUGGUUGUUGUGCCAGUGUCGCGUCGAAUGCCGCCAGUGUCGCCCGUCCAAGAUGAUGAUGCCGUUCGCUUUCGUUUAUAACCGGAGGAUGCCGUGCUGGUAUUCUAAUCUGUUUUUGUUGUUUGCAUCCGGUAGUUAGAUUAUCCAAUCAACAUAUGCUGUACAUGAGGUUUGUGGUAGGAGUACGUACCCAGAAUUAUCUCUAUUGAGUUCCUAUAAUCGCUUCCCUUACUGUAUUUUAUAUAACAGUGACGCUAGCUGGAAGUGGAUGACAAUUUCUGCAGGUUAUUUCAAUUCUUUGGUCUCUUCUUUUAAUUUAUGCUCACCCAGUUAUCCAAUUGGAUAUGUGCAUCUUACAAGUAAAAAUGACGCUAUCAGCUAUGUGGUGGAUCUUUUUAUAUUGCUUUUUCUGCAUAUUGAAUGUAUAUGCAUUCAUUAUGAAAAGAAGGUGGUGCCUUGCAGUAUUUACCUGAAUCGGCUAGGGAGAUCGAAAAAUGAUGCUCAACUGAACGUCUGGUAGUUUUUCCACAUAUAUAUACUUGGUUAGUUUUAAUAGCUGAACUGAUUUUUGUAGUACAACUUAUUUAUUCUGUUGUAUGCAACUUGGGCUUGCUUAAUAAGACUAGCAAAUUUCCAAUAACGUUAUCUGUAGUAAUUGACUCCACUAUACUAAAUUGUUUUCCCUGUUGUAGUUGAUAUCUUUGUUAUAGAUACAAGCGCAGACCUUAGUAGACAUGCAUCGUGAGUAGAUAAAGUUUAGUUUGUAUUUAUUUACUAUAAGCAGAAAAUAUGGUCUCUUACGUACGUACAUUUCCAUUCUCUAUAAUGGGAUAUAUUAAAAGGAAUAAUCAUGUCUAUGCUCUAAUAUCUUCUACAGAGUGAACUGGAGGGCCUCAUAUAAUUUUAGUCGAAAGUACACAAGUCAA